Molecule: ribosomal RNA, 467 nt
Filed under: uncultured bacterium
Lineage: Bacteria
Description: partial 16S ribosomal RNA
Rfam family: Bacterial small subunit ribosomal RNA
Source: RNAcentral
GACGAACGCUGGCGGCGUGCUUAACACAUGCAAGUCGAACGGAAAGGCCUCUUUCGGGGGGUACUCGAGUGGCGAACGGGUGAGUAACACGUGAGUAACCUGCCCUUGACUUUGGGAUAACUUCAGGAAACUGGGGCUAAUACCGGAUAGGAGCUCCUGCUGCAUGGUGGGGGUUGGAAAGUUUCGGCGGUUGGGGAUGGACUCGCGGCUUAUCAGCUUGUUGGUGGGGUAGUGGCUUACCAAGGCUUUGACGGGUAGCCGGCCUGAGAGGGUGACCGGCCACAUUGGGACUGAGAUACGGCCCAGAAUCCUACGGGAGGCAGCAGUGGGGAAUAUUGCACAAUGGGUGGAAGCCUGAUGCAGCAACGCCGUGUGCGGGAUGACGGCCUUCGGGUUGUAAACCGCUUUCGCUCAUGACGAAGCUUUGUGUGACGGUAGUGGGUAAAGAAGCACCGGCUAACUACGUG